Molecule: ribosomal RNA, 2987 nt
Filed under: Salmonella enterica subsp. enterica serovar Agona
Lineage: Bacteria; Pseudomonadati; Pseudomonadota; Gammaproteobacteria; Enterobacterales; Enterobacteriaceae
Description: bacterial LSU rRNA
Rfam family: Bacterial large subunit ribosomal RNA
Source: RNAcentral
UUAAGCGACUAAGCGUACACGGUGGAUGCCCUGGCAGUCAGAGGCGAUGAAGGGCGUGCUAAUCUGCGAUAAGCGCCGGUAAGGUGAUAUGAACCGUUAUAACCGGCGAUACCCGAAUGGGGAAACCCAGUGUGACUCGUCACACUAUCAUUAACUGAAUCCAUAGGUUAAUGAGGCGAACCGGGGGAACUGAAACAUCUAAGUACCCCGAGGAAAAGAAAUCAACCGAGAUUCCCCCAGUAGCGGCGAGCGAACGGGGAGGAGCCCAGAGCCUGAAUCAGCAUGUGUGUUAGUGGAAGCGUCUGGAAAGACGCGCGAUACAGGGUGACAGCCCCGUACACAAAAGCGUAUGUGCUGUGAGCUCGAUGAGUAGGGCGGGACACGUGGUAUCCUGUCUGAAUAUGGGGGGACCAUCCUCCAAGGCUAAAUACUCCUGACUGACCGAUAGUGAACCAGUACCGUGAGGGAAAGGCGAAAAGAACCCCGGCGAGGGGAGUGAAAAAGAACCUGAAACCGUGUACGUACAAGCAGUGGGAGCACAGGUUUACCUGUGUGACUGCGUACCUUUUGUAUAAUGGGUCAGCGACUUAUAUUCUGUAGCAAGGUUAACCGAAUAGGGGAGCCGGAGGGAAACCGAGUCUUAAUUGGGCGUUAAGUUGCAGGGUAUAGACCCGAAACCCGGUGAUCUAGCCAUGGGCAGGUUGAAGGUUGGGUAACACUAACUGGAGGACCGAACCGACUAAUGUUGAAAAAUUAGCGGAUGACCUGUGGCUGGGGGUGAAAGGCCAAUCAAACCGGGAGAUAGCUGGUUCUCCCCGAAAGCUAUUUAGGUAGCGCCUCGUGAAUUCAUCUCCGGGGGUAGAGCACUGUUUCGGCUAGGGGGCCAUCCCGGCUUACCAACCCGAUGCAAACUGCGAAUACCGGAGAAUGUUAUCACGGGAGACACACGGCGGGUGCUAACGUCCGUCGUGAAGAGGGAAACAACCCAGACCGCCAGCUAAGGUCCCAAAGUCAUGGUUAAGUGGGAAACGAUGUGGGAAGGCCCAGACAGCCAGGAUGUUGGCUUAGAAGCAGCCAUCAUUUAAAGAAAGCGUAAUAGCUCACUGGUCGAGUCGGCCUGCGCGGAAGAUGUAACGGGGCUAAACCAUGCACCGAAGCUGCGGCAGCGAACGUAUCACUUAAAGCGAUUCAGCGGGUUACGAUUGACGGAGCGAAGCGACGUCAAAGCGUAUACAAAGUCGAGUCGGUUUAAGGAUACGUUCGUUGGGUAGGGGAGCGUUCUGUAAGCCUGUGAAGGUGGCCUGUGAGGGUUGCUGGAGGUAUCAGAAGUGCGAAUGCUGACAUAAGUAACGAUAAAGCGGGUGAAAAGCCCGCUCGCCGGAAGACCAAGGGUUCCUGUCCAACGUUAAUCGGGGCAGGGUGAGUCGACCCCUAAGGCGAGGCCGAAAGGCGUAGUCGAUGGGAAACGGGUUAAUAUUCCCGUACUUGGUGUUACUGCGAAGGGGGGACGGAGAAGGCUAUGUUGGCCGGGCGACGGUUGUCCCGGUUUAAGCGUGUAGGUGUGUGUUCCAGGUAAAUCCGGUUCACUUUAACACUGAGGCGUGACGACGAGGCACUACGGUGCUGAAGCAACAAAUGCCCUGCUUCCAGGAAAAGCCUCUAAGCAUCAGGUAACAUCAAAUCGUACCCCAAACCGACACAGGUGGUCAGGUAGAGAAUACCAAGGCGCUUGAGAGAACUCGGGUGAAGGAACUAGGCAAAAUGGUGCCGUAACUUCGGGAGAAGGCACGCUGACACGUAGGUGAAGUGAUUUACUCAUGGAGCUGAAGUCAGUCGAAGAUACCAGCUGGCUGCAACUGUUUAUUAAAAACACAGCACUGUGCAAACACGAAAGUGGACGUAUACGGUGUGACGCCUGCCCGGUGCCGGAAGGUUAAUUGAUGGGGUCAGCGCAAGCGAAGCUCCUGAUCGAAGCCCCGGUAAACGGCGGCCGUAACUAUAACGGUCCUAAGGUAGCGAAAUUCCUUGUCGGGUAAGUUCCGACCUGCACGAAUGGCGUAAUGAUGGCCAGGCUGUCUCCACCCGAGACUCAGUGAAAUUGAACUCGCUGUGAAGAUGCAGUGUACCCGCGGCAAGACGGAAAGACCCCGUGAACCUUUACUAUAGCUUGACACUGAACAUUGAGCCUUGAUGUGUAGGAUAGGUGGGAGGCUUUGAAGUGUGGACGCCAGUCUGCAUGGAGCCGACCUUGAAAUACCACCCUUUAAUGUUUGAUGUUCUAACGUGGACCCGUAAUCCGGGUUGCGGACAGUGUCUGGUGGGUAGUUUGACUGGGGCGGUCUCCUCCUAAAGAGUAACGGAGGAGCACGAAGGUUGGCUAAUCCUGGUCGGACAUCAGGAGGUUAGUGCAAUGGCAUAAGCCAGCUUGACUGCGAGCGUGACGGCGCGAGCAGGUGCGAAAGCAGGUCAUAGUGAUCCGGUGGUUCUGAAUGGAAGGGCCAUCGCUCAACGGAUAAAAGGUACUCCGGGGAUAACAGGCUGAUACCGCCCAAGAGUUCAUAUCGACGGCGGUGUUUGGCACCUCGAUGUCGGCUCAUCACAUCCUGGGGCUGAAGUAGGUCCCAAGGGUAUGGCUGUUCGCCAUUUAAAGUGGUACGCGAGCUGGGUUUAGAACGUCGUGAGACAGUUCGGUCCCUAUCUGCCGUGGGCGCUGGAGAACUGAGGGGGGCUGCUCCUAGUACGAGAGGACCGGAGUGGACGCAUCACUGGUGUUCGGGUUGUCAUGCCAAUGGCACUGCCCGGUAGCUAAAUGCGGAAGAGAUAAGUGCUGAAAGCAUCUAAGCACGAAACUUGCCCCGAGAUGAGUUCUCCCUGAGACUUAGAGUCUCCUGAAGGAACGUUGAAGACGACGACGUUGAUAGGCCGGGUGUGUAAGCGCAGCGAUGCGUUGAGCUAACCGGUACUAAUGAACCGUGAGGCUUAACCUU